Long non-coding RNA from Elgaria multicarinata webbii, 431 nucleotides. RefSeq lists it as uncharacterized. NCBI's taxonomy places the organism in Eukaryota, Metazoa, Chordata, Lepidosauria, Squamata, Anguidae. The record is from RefSeq and is a predicted model, not a curated record. The transcript has 3 exons.
UUAAGCAAUGCUUAAGCCUACUGAAAUUUAAUUCUGUUGGCAAUAUUGCUUUGUUUCAUAGCUUUGCCUUCAUCCUAGUAGAGCCUUGUGUGGCGCAGAGUGGUAAGCGGCAGUUACUGCAGCCGAAACACCCCCAGGCCCUGAGUUCGAUCCCAGCAGAAGCUGGUUCUCAGGCAGCCGGCUCAGGUCGACUCAGCCUUCCAUCCUUCCGAGAAUGCAGAAAUCAAAAUGAAUCAAAGUAGAGGAUAAACAUCUUUGCAAAGAAGGUGCCCAGUACAUUAUUUGAUCAUAGGUUUCAUCAGACAAUUGAAUGACUACGAUCUAGCAAAAUAUUUUUAUGACAUGCAGGAGUAUUCAAAACAGAAAAGCAGCAUUUCAUCUCUUAGAUGUUCUGGAAAUGAAAAGGUCCAUUUGGCAACAUUUUCCAAUCA